Molecule: non-coding RNA, 168 nt
Organism: Camellia sinensis
Lineage: Eukaryota; Viridiplantae; Streptophyta; Magnoliopsida; Ericales; Theaceae
Source: RefSeq, a predicted model, not a curated record
GAGCAGUUUCUGUACGGUCCGGGGUGGCACACACUCAGUCCAAACUCUGCCCGGCCCAAGUUCUGGUAGCCCAUUUCCGGGCGGAUAGUUGAUCAGCUCGGCCCCAUACACCGUUGGGCCCUCAACCUGCUCGGCCGUCACCUCAGCCCAACUCCAGAUCAUAAAUUA